RNAcentral lists this ribosomal RNA (492 nucleotides) under uncultured bacterium. Its description in RNAcentral is "partial 16S ribosomal RNA". It matches the Rfam family "Bacterial small subunit ribosomal RNA", at positions 29 to 507 of the family's 1533-position model. The record is from RNAcentral.
AGUGAACGCUGGCGGUAGGCUUAACACAUGCAAGUCGAACGGCAGCACAGUAAGAGCUUGCUCUUCCGGGUGGCGAGUGGCGGACGGGUGAGGAAUACAACGGAAUCUACAUUUUCGUGGGGGAUAACGUAGGGAAACUUAAGCUAAUACCGCAUACGACCUUCGGGUGAAAGCAGUGGAUCUUCGGACCUUGCGCGAUUGAAUGAGCUGAUGUCGGACUUGCUGGUUGGGGGGGUACAGGCCCACGAAGUGGACGAUCCGUAGCUGGUGUGGGUGGCGGAUCAGCCACCUGGGAACUGAGACGCGGUCCAGGCUCCUACGGGAGGCACCAGUGUGGAAUGUUGGACAACAGUCGCGAGCCUGAUCCAGCCAUACCGCGUGUGUGAAGAAAGCCUUCGGGGUGUAAAGCCGGUUUGUUGGGAAAGAAAAGCAUCAGGUUAAUACCCCGCUGUUCUGACGGUACCCAAAGAAUAAGCACCGGCUAACUUCGUG